GUCUUUACCAUGCCACCCUGAACAAGCCCGAUCCUGUCUGAUCUUGGAAGCUAAGCAGGGUCAGCCCUGGUUAGUACUUAGAUGGGAGACCACCUAGGAAGACCAGGCGCUGUAGGCC
RNAcentral lists this ribosomal RNA (118 nucleotides) under Pteropus alecto (black flying fox). Lineage: Eukaryota; Metazoa; Chordata; Mammalia; Chiroptera; Pteropodidae. The record is from RNAcentral.